This 334-nucleotide unclassified non-coding RNA is filed under the name soil metagenome. Its description in RNAcentral is "partial contains 5.8S ribosomal RNA, internal transcribed spacer 2, and large subunit ribosomal RNA". The stretch from base 1 to 120 matches the Rfam family "5.8S ribosomal RNA", at positions 35 to 154 of the family's 154-position model. The record is from RNAcentral.
GAUGAAGAACGCAGCGAAAUGCGAUAAGUAAUGUGAAUUGCAGAAUUUAGUGAAUCAUCGAAUCUUUGAACGCACAUUGCGCCCCCCAGUAUUCUGGCGGGCAUGCCUGUUCGAGCGUCAUUUCAACCAUCAAGCCCUGCUUGUGUUGGGGUCCUGCGGCUGCCCGCAGGCCCUGAAAACCAGUGGCGGGCUCGCUAGUCACACCGAGCGCAGUAGCACAUCUCGCUCAGGGCGUGCGGCGGGCUCCAGCCGUUAAAGCACCCACCUUUCGCAAGGUUGACCUCGGAUCAGGUAGGAAUACCCGCUGAACUUAAGCAUAUCAAUAAGCGGAGGA